AACGUUACUCCAAUGUGCUGCCCCAAGUUAGAAACAGAACAAACGCGGGAUACAGAGAUGAGGUGUCGGGUCGCCGGCGGCGGACCUCACCGUGUGCUGCCUUAUGACCUCGCCGUGUUCCGAAAUCCAGCAGAUAGCACGCCCCAUCCCCGGCCCGCCGUUCUCCACCUCGGCUCCAACACCUCACCACACCCGACGCCUACCACCGUCAUCCGUCGACGGCUAGAUCCGCCAUCCGUGAAUGCCUAGCUCCGCUAUUCGCCGAGACCGGAGAAGGGAACUCCAGCCUUCAGACUCCAGUAGCGAUGGUUCCGAUGAAGAUUUCAGGAACUUCCUUGGCGACAGUGACAAUGCCUACUGAAGAGGGUGAAGCGACACCCAGGCACCAUCUUUUGGUUCCCAAUAACGAAUGUUUAUAGCAGCAAUGAUAUGUAUGAAGAUUAUCUCCAUACAUAUUUUCAGGCCGCACAAGUCUCAGGCUCUAGUUAUUUUUGGCACCAUGUAAACAAGAAUGUACACUUGCCAAAAAAUAAAAUAGUAUGCAGCAUUUUUGGUACUUCAGAUGGGUGAUUGUUGUACAGUUCAUGUGCAUGCUUGCGAUGCUCCAAUGUAAAAUAGUAUGCAUGUUCUUGAAUGGAAGCAUCUAAAGAAAUGUGUUCAAAGA
Long non-coding RNA from Triticum dicoccoides, 664 nucleotides. RefSeq lists it as uncharacterized. The transcript is spliced from 2 exons. Lineage: Eukaryota; Viridiplantae; Streptophyta; Magnoliopsida; Poales; Poaceae. The record is from RefSeq and is a predicted model, not a curated record.